RNAcentral lists this ribosomal RNA (464 nucleotides) under uncultured Desulfobulbus sp. RNAcentral describes it as "bacterial SSU rRNA". It matches the Rfam family "Bacterial small subunit ribosomal RNA", at positions 923 to 1382 of the family's 1533-position model. Lineage: Bacteria; Pseudomonadati; Thermodesulfobacteriota; Desulfobulbia; Desulfobulbales; Desulfobulbaceae. The record is from RNAcentral.
GCACAAGCGGUGGAGUAUGUGGUUUAAUUCGAUGCAACGCGAAGAACCUUACCUGGCUUGACAUCCCGGGAAUUUCCUGGAAACAGGAGAGUGCUUUCAUUAGAGAGAACCUGGAGACAGGUGCUGCAUGGCUGUCGUCAGCUCGUGUCGUGAGAUGUUGGGUUAAGUCCCGCAACGAGCGCAACCCUUGCCUUUAGUUGCCAGCAGUUCGGCUGGGCACUCUAAAGGGACUGCCGGUGUCAAACCGGAGGAAGGUGGGGAUGACGUCAAGUCCUCAUGGCCUUUAUGGCCAGGGCUACACACGUACUACAAUGGCCGGUACAAAGGGCAGCGACAUUGCGAGAUGGAGCGAAUCCCGAAAAGCCGGUCUCAGUCCGGAUUGGAGUCUGCAACUCGACUCCAUGAAGUUGGAAUCGCUAGUAAUCGUGGAUCAGCAUGCCACGGUGAAUACGUUCCCGGGCCUU